AAACACUGAAUUAGCUGUCCCUUGGCGUAGCUUUAACAAGGUACUUGGUCGAGUGAGAUUGGGAUGUACAGUACCGGGAGGAUAUUCGAUGUGAUGGCUGGGCUUUUAAAUUGGAAACUCAAAAAAACAAUCAUUGUGCUAUACUUCAACUAGGUAUAGGUACUAUAUCUGUAAACCGCAGAACUUACGCACUUUCUCGUUAUUCCGAGCCCUGAUAAUAUAAUAUUAGAUCGGUCGCUUACGCGGGGAAGUGAAUGCGUCACAAAAGGCUCUGCGAUUAUCGGUGUUCAAUAAAAAAAAAAUUAAUUGCGUGACGUCCGUCAUGACAAUAUAAUACCGGCGAAACGAAAAGUUCCAAUUAAUAUUGUCGGCGGUGAUGACUUGCCUUUU
This is a non-coding RNA of Cinara cedri, 390 nucleotides long. NCBI's taxonomy places the organism in Eukaryota, Metazoa, Arthropoda, Insecta, Hemiptera, Aphididae. The record is from the annotation of a GenBank genome assembly.